RNAcentral lists this ribosomal RNA (214 nucleotides) under uncultured Glomus. RNAcentral describes it as "partial small subunit ribosomal RNA". The stretch from base 37 to 214 matches the Rfam family "Eukaryotic small subunit ribosomal RNA", at positions 685 to 864 of the family's 1831-position model. The record is from RNAcentral. Lineage: Eukaryota; Fungi; Glomeromycota; Glomeromycetes; Glomerales; Glomeraceae.
GGAUCAAUAUGUUGGUCGUGCCUUGGUACGUACUAGUUUAUUGGUUUCUCCCUUCUGACGAACCAUGAUGUCAUUAAUUUGGUGUCAUGUGGAAUCAGAACUGUUACUUUGAAAAAAUUAGAGUGUUUAAAGCAGGCUCACGCUUGAAUACAUUAGCACGGAAUAAUGAAAUAGGACGUUUGAUUCUAUUUUGUUGGUUUCUAGGAUUGACGUA